UAAGGAAUAUUGCACAAUGGGCGAAAGCCUGAUGCAGCAACGCCGCGUGAGCGAUGAAGGCCUUCGGGUCGUAAAGCUCUGUCCUCAAGGAAGAUAAUGACGGUACUUGAGGAGGAAGCCCCGGCUAACUACGUGCCAGCAGCCGCGGUAAUACGUAGGGGGCUAGCGUUAUCCGGAAUUACUGGGCGUAAAGGGUGCGUAGGUGGUUUCUUAAGUCAGAGGUGAAAGGCUACGGCUCAACCGUAGUAAGCCUUUGAAACUGGGAAACUUGAGUGCAGGAGAGGAGAGUGGAAUUCCUAGUGUAGCGGUGAAAUGUGUAGAUAUUAGGAGGAACACCAGUUGCGAAGGCGGCUCUCUGGACUGUAACUGACACUGAGGCGCGAGAGCGUGGGUAGCAAACA
This 401-nucleotide ribosomal RNA is filed under the name uncultured prokaryote. Its description in RNAcentral is "bacterial SSU rRNA". It matches the Rfam family "Bacterial small subunit ribosomal RNA", at positions 355 to 774 of the family's 1533-position model. The record is from RNAcentral.